CCUACGGGAGGCAGCAGUGAGGAAUAUUGGUCAUUGGACGAGAGUCUGAACCAGCCAAGUAGCGUGAAGGAUGACUGCCCUAUGGGUUGUAAACUUCUUUUAUAUGGGAAUAAAAUGUUCCACGUGUGGGAUUUUGUAUGUACCAUAUGAAUAAGGAUCGGCUAACUCCGUGCCAGCAGCCGCGGUAAUACGGAGGAUCCGAGCGUUAUCCGGAUUUAUUGGGUUUAAAGGGAGCGUAGGUGGAUUGUUAAGUCAGUUGUGAAAGUUUGCGGCUCAACCAUAAAAUUGCAGUUGAAACUGGCAGUCUUGAGUACAGUAGAGGUGGGCGGAAUUCGUGGUGUAGCGGUGAAAUGCUUAGAUAUCACGAAGAACUCCGAUUGCGAAGGCAGUUCACUGGACUGCAACUGACACUGAGGCUCGAAAGUGUGGGUAUCAAACAGGAUUAGAUACCCUUGUAGUC
This 460-nucleotide ribosomal RNA is filed under the name uncultured bacterium. RNAcentral's name for it is "partial 16S ribosomal RNA". It matches the Rfam family "Bacterial small subunit ribosomal RNA", at positions 338 to 795 of the family's 1533-position model. The record is from RNAcentral.